Molecule: ribosomal RNA, 433 nt
Filed under: uncultured bacterium
Lineage: Bacteria
Description: partial 16S ribosomal RNA
Rfam family: Bacterial small subunit ribosomal RNA
Source: RNAcentral
AACGAACGCUGGCGGCAUGCCUAACACAUGCAAGUCGAACGAGACCUUCGGGUCUAGUGGCGCACGGGUGCGUAACGCGUGGGAACCUGCCCUUAGGUUCGGAAUAACUCCCCGAAAGGGGUGCUAAUACCGGAUAAUGUCUUCGGACCAAAGAUUUAUCGCCUUUGGAUGGACCCGCGUUGGAUUAGCUAGUUGGUAGGGUAAAAGCCUACCAAGGCGACGAUCCAUAGCUGGUCUGAGAGGAUGAUCAGCCACACUGGGACUGAGACACGGCCCAGACUCCUACGGGAAGCAGCAGUGGGGAAUAUUGGACAAUGGGCGAAAGCCUGAUCCAGCAAUGCCGCGUGAGUGAUGAAGGCCUUAGGGUUGUAAAGCUCUUUUACCCGGGAUGAUAAUGACAGUACCGGGAGAAUAAGCUCCGGCUAACUCCGUG